UACGUAGGGGGCAAGCGUUAUCCGGAUUUACUGGGUGUAAAGGGAGCGUAGACGGCUAAUCAAGUCAGAAGUGAAAACCCAGGGCUCAACCUUGGGACUGCUUUUGAAACUGAGUAGCUAGAGUGCAGGAGAGGUAAGUGGAAUUCCUAGUGUAGCGGUGAAAUGCGUAGAGAUUAGGAAGAACACCAGUGGCGAAGGCGACUUACUGGACUGUAACUGACGCUGAGGCAUGAGAGCAUGGGGAGCAAACAGG
Molecule: ribosomal RNA, 253 nt
Filed under: uncultured Lachnospiraceae bacterium
Lineage: Bacteria; Bacillati; Bacillota; Clostridia; Lachnospirales; Lachnospiraceae
Description: partial 16S ribosomal RNA
Rfam family: Bacterial small subunit ribosomal RNA
Source: RNAcentral